This 505-nucleotide long non-coding RNA is filed under the name Arachis ipaensis. RNAcentral describes it as "long non-coding RNA (AIPA_LNC000507)". The record is from RNAcentral. Lineage: Eukaryota; Viridiplantae; Streptophyta; Magnoliopsida; Fabales; Fabaceae.
GGUUAUUCUCUCUCUCUCUCUCUCAAGAGAUGUUGAAGCUCAUCAAGAAUAAUAGUGUGUUGAACAUGCCCUUUCAACAUCAUGAUUUUCCUUCACAACUUCACAUGUUUAUUAUCUUCACAACUUCAAUAAGAUAGAGAGGAAGAAGAAGAAGAAGAAGUUGAAGCCUAUAAUAGCUAGAUCCAUAUUAUAUUAUUAUAUUAUUAAUAUGGGUUUAGAAUUGAAGGCUCCUUAAUUAAUUUGUGGCCAACAUCAACAACAAAUCAUGAAAAUGGAAUUCAAGGCCUCAUCAAAAUUCCAUAUCCAUGGGGGAAUUAAGCACUCCUGGUCCGAAUCACUAUAUAUAUUAUAUCUAUUGUUCUUCUCUUCUAUCUUCUAUCUUCCACUUUCUUUUUUUUUUCCCUUUAAUUCUUAAUUUAAUUUUACUUAGCUAGAUAUUAUAUAGUAGUUUAUGAAUUGGGUUUGAGAAUGUAAAUUUAGUUACCCUUUAAUUUGUUUGUUGCUA